This 253-nucleotide ribosomal RNA is filed under the name uncultured bacterium. RNAcentral's name for it is "partial 16S ribosomal RNA". It matches the Rfam family "Bacterial small subunit ribosomal RNA", at positions 524 to 776 of the family's 1533-position model. The record is from RNAcentral.
UACAGAGGUCUCAAGCGUUGUUCGGAUUCAUUGGGCGUAAAGGGAGCGUAGGUGGUUAGGUAAGCCCUCCGGGAAAUCUUCAGGCUUAACCUGAAAAGGUCGAGGGGGACUGCCUGGCUAGAGGACGGGAGAGGAGCGCGGAAUUCCCGGUGUAGCGGUGAAAUGCGUAGAUAUCGUAAGGAAGACCAGUGGCGAAGGCGGGUCUCUGGACAGUUCCUGACGCUGAGGCACGAAGGUCAGGGGAGCAAACGGG